UUCCCCGAUGUGGCCCUUGGGUCAAAAUGUUCGUCCACCACUGGUUUAGAUGGAAAGAGGAUGGUAUUUUGGGUAAAAUUUUGGGAUGUGGUUGUAAUGUAACCUUUCUUUAUGAAAAAUCCUAUAUGGGGGUAUGCCACGAGUGCUCCAGUUUCACCAACCUGCCAGGUGGAGGUGACAGCAACAAGAAAUGUUGUUUUCACGAAUAUAUGAACAUAGGAGCACGUUGCCAUUGGUUUGAAAGGUGGUCUAGUAAGAUGACAUAGCACAGGGCCAGGGUCCCUAGCUGGGGUCAGAGCCCAUAUAUGAGAGUAAAGAUUUUGGAUACCUUUUAGGAUCUUUUUGUGAGCGGGUGGGUAAACACGGAGUGGCUGUCUAUCUCAGGAUGAAAGGUCAUGAUGGUUGCCAAGUGCACACAAAUGGAGCUGAUGGAUAACCCCAAUCUUUUAAGGUGUAAAAUAUAGUUCAGGAUAAGCGGUAAUGGGGAACUUAUUGUUUCUACCUGAUUGGAGGCACACCAGGAGUGGAAUCUAGUCCAUUUGUGGAGGUAAGUGCGUCUUGUUGUAUUAUGUCCGCUAUUCAAGAGGACUUCUUUAACUGUUUCUGAACAAGUUAUCUCCGAAUCCCAGAACCAGGGAGGGGCCAUGCCUUCACCUGGAGUAGCUGUGAAUUGGGAUGGAAGAUUCAACACACAUGCUGUGAAAGGAGUCGGCCACAGAGUGAUCAUGCGAAUAAGCGCCAAAGAGAUGACCGGGGAAAUACCAACCUCCCCGACGCUCCUGACCACCACAAUUCACUCCUCAUCAACAGUACAACACCCAACGCCAUCAACAAAAGCCCCAUACCAAAAGCAGAUGUACGAUUCCUCAAGGAGCUACCUCUCACACACCUUCGACCAAACAACAAUUUUGAAGGAACUGGAAGCAAUUGGACUUAUUUGGUCACAAGGCUUAUUCAUCCGCUAUGCUCCAAUCCUGCAUAUUCAAGAACGAGAAGGGAAAGAAAUAACUAUUGAACUACACUAAAAACUAACAGGCUGGACUUGUCUUCCUCUUGCUCCAGACCUCGACCCCAUAUGAAGCAAGGCAAGUACAUCCCACCAGGCAGCCAUCACUAAUCAGCUGGGUGCUCUUCUGUCUCUGACCAGUGGGUGAGACCCAGCUGCCUCUAUCUACAGACACUGGAUUCCAAUGAUCCUAUCUGAAUCUGCCUCUGAAGAUCUAGGCUGCAGUUUUUAUGUACAGUAAGUUUCAAAGGAACAUAUGAGUAUAGGGUAUGCCAAUGAGGCAGUGAGUGAGUAUUUUCAAGGGCUUCUCAUGUGGUACUGCAUUGGUGACUUUCUUAACUAGGGUUGCCAGGGGUCUGUUUUUUGACCGGAACUCUCGGUUGAAAAGGGACUCUGGCAGCUCCAGUUGGCAUCGCUGACUGGGCCAUUAAAAGUCUGGUUGGUAGCACAGUAGAAGCCUGGGGCUAAGGCAGGGUCCCUACCUGCCCUGACUCCACGUUGCUCCCUGCGGCCCCUAGGUCCUGGGGCGGUCAGGGACUGUGAGGCUCCGCGCGCUGUCCCCACCCCGAAUACUGGCUCUGCAGCUCCCAUUGGCUGGGAACCGUGACCAAUGGGAGCUGAGGGGGGCGGUGCCUGCAGGAGCAAAGGCAGCGUGCACCGCACAGAGCUGCCUGGCCACCCAAGAGGCAGCCACUUCCUUGGAGCCACAGUAAGUGAUCCAACCAGGUUUACACAAUAUUUUUUUUCUUGCCUGUAGGAACAGGGGGAGGGGGAAAUGGCAUGAUCCUGUUUCAGCCAGGAAUGGAAGUUAAAAUAUAGGUUCCUAACAUGUCCCUUUAUGUCCACAAAGAGAAGGAGGCAGGGAGGAGACUCUUACAACAUGGUUAGGUACAAACUAGGUAUUGCAACUGUUUAAAACUUAUACUGUAGUUGGGAGGGCCUUUGGGUUUGCAACAAAUGAUAGUUCUGAAAAAGCUAGUGUCAAAACACAGCCACAUGCCUCACACUGGGCACUGAAAACAUUUCAAAGCGGGGUUGAUCAGAGCGCUACAGAACUUUUAGUACACAAGAGCAGGGACCACACAAACACUUACUGUGUGGCAAGCUAGUGGUGCAAUGCAGAUUUAUACCCCAGCCUGCCAUGAACUAUGUCUACAUUACAGAGCUACAGCUCCAGUACUGCAGCUGUGAUGCCACAGUGUAGGCACUUUCUACAUCAAUGGAAGGGCUUUUCCCAUCAAUGUAGGUAAUCCACUCCUCUGAGAGAUGGUAGCUAGUUUGAUGGAAGAAUUCUUCCAUCAAACUAGCUGCAUCUACAGUGGAAGUUAGGUCACCCUAACUACAUUGCACAAGGCGUGAAAUUUUUCAUAGUCCUCCUAAGCAAUGUACUAGGUCAACCCGAGUUUUAGGUGUAGACCAGACCUACAUAUUCCUAUAGACAAGCCAUCAAAUACUGCAACAAUGGGAAUGAUAUUAAAAUCUCAUCACUUUCUGACCUAAAAGACCAGCAAUACAUCACAUUCCUCUUGACAUGGGUUACACUGAGAGAGAAUGUGGUGGUAAGCUGUUGAAAUGUUAUGUCCACACACAAAGCUUGUCCAGCUGGUUUCCACACAUUCUAAAAACUGUUUUGGUAGUAGGUCUAGGAACCUCAUCAGUCUGAACCAUUUCAAUUUGAGUUGUUUUAGUGCCAGUUUGGACAUGGACUAGCUGAAACAGUUCAAGUAGUCCUCUCAGAUGUCCCACAGCAUUUGGGUAGCUUUCACAGAACAGGUAUACCCCAUCACCCCUAUAAUGGUACUAUGUCCCUGCAGUCAAGUUCAAAUAACUGCCUCUUCUCAGGGCGGUGCAACCUAAUGGUCUGAGUCGGGGCGGGAACUGCUCUUAGAUUCCAGGCAGCAAGGCCUACUGGCCUAAUUCUGUGAGGAGGGCCCUGUAGUUCAGAGACGUCUGGGAAAAUGUCCAGCAUCAGUGGGCAUCCCUAGAGUCAGGGCACUCUGGCCCAGAGGCCAUCGGACCACCCCUCAGCGCAGGUCUGUAUGGCCUAGCCCCCAGGGUCUGUGGGGCCGCCCUCCUGUGCAAGGUAUACAAUUCAAAUAAAUUUGGAAUUUUCAAUGUGUUCUUAUUUUAAUGACACACUUGAUAUUUUUCCUAACAGAAUGUAAAUAUCAUUAGAAAUUUAAAUCAAACAAUUUGCAAUGUAUAUAUGUUAUAUUUAGUAGGGCUGUCAAUUAAUCGCAGGUAACUCACACGAUUAACUCUAAAAAAUUUAAUAACUCGUGAUUAAAAAAUUAAUCAUAAUUAAUUGCAGUUUUAAUCGCACUGUUAAACAAUAG
This is a long non-coding RNA of Dermochelys coriacea (leatherback sea turtle), 3342 nucleotides long. RefSeq lists it as uncharacterized. Lineage: Eukaryota; Metazoa; Chordata; Testudines; Dermochelyidae. The transcript is spliced from 4 exons. The record is from RefSeq and is a predicted model, not a curated record.